AUUGAACGCUGGCGGCAUGCCUAACACAUGCAAGUCGAACGGUAACGCGGAGAGCUUGCUCUCUGGCGACGAGUGGCGGACGGGUGAGUAAUACUUAGGAAUCUGCCCAGUAGUGGGGGACAACAUUCGGAAACGGAUGCUAAUACCGCAUACGCACUACGGUGGAAAGUGGGGGACCUUCGGGCCUCACGCUAUUGGAUGAGCCUAAGUCGGAUUAGCCUGUUGGUAGGGUAAUGGCCUACCAAGGCGACGAUCCGUAGCUGGUCUGAGAGGACGAUCAGCCACACUGGGACUGAGACACGGCCCAGACUCCUACGGGAGGCAGCAGUGGGGAAUAUUGGACAAUGGGCGCAAGCCUGAUCCAGCAAUGCCGCGUGUGUGAAGAAGGCCUGCGGGUUGUAAAGCACUUUCAGUAGAGAAGAAAUGCCUGGGGUUAAUACCCCGGGUCUUGACGUAACCUACAGAAGAAGCACCGGCUAACUCCGUG
This 487-nucleotide ribosomal RNA is filed under the name uncultured bacterium. RNAcentral's name for it is "bacterial SSU rRNA". It matches the Rfam family "Bacterial small subunit ribosomal RNA", at positions 30 to 507 of the family's 1533-position model. The record is from RNAcentral.